Molecule: ribosomal RNA, 633 nt
Filed under: bacterium TN45C
Lineage: Bacteria
Description: bacterial SSU rRNA
Rfam family: Bacterial small subunit ribosomal RNA
Source: RNAcentral
CUCAAAGGAAUUGACGGGGGCCCGCACAAGCGGCGGAGCAUGCGGAUUAAUUCGAUGCAACGCGAAGAACCUUACCAAGGCUUGACAUGAACCGGUAAUACCUGGAAACAGGUGCCCCGCUUGCGGUCGGUUUACAGGUGGUGCAUGGUUGUCGUCAGCUCGUGUCGUGAGAUGUUGGGUUAAGUCCCGCAACGAGCGCAACCCUCGUUCUAUGUUGCCAGCGCGUUAUGGCGGGGACUCAUAGGAGACUGCCGGGGUCAACUCGGAGGAAGGUGGGGACGACGUCAAAUCAUCAUGCCCCUUAUGUCUUGGGCUUCACGCAUGCUACAAUGGCCGGUACAAAGGGUUGCGAUACUGUGCGGUGGAGCUAAUCCCAAAAAGCCGGUCUCAGUUCGGAUUGGGGUCUGCAACUCGACCCCAUGAAGUCGGAGUCGCUAGUAAUCGCAGAUCAGCAACGCUGCGGUGAAUACGUUCCCGGGCCUUGUACACACCGCCCGUCAAGUCACGAAAGUUGGUAACACCCGAAGCCGGUGGCCUAACCCUUGUGGGGGGAGCCGUCGAAGGUGGGACCGGCGAUUGGGACUAAGUCGUAACAAGGUAGCCGUACCGGAAGGUGCGGCUGGAUCACCUCCU